RNAcentral lists this ribosomal RNA (1221 nucleotides) under Mycolicibacterium hodleri. Its description in RNAcentral is "bacterial SSU rRNA". It matches the Rfam family "Bacterial small subunit ribosomal RNA", at positions 195 to 1430 of the family's 1533-position model. Lineage: Bacteria; Bacillati; Actinomycetota; Actinomycetes; Mycobacteriales; Mycobacteriaceae. The record is from RNAcentral.
UGUGGUGGAAAGCUUUUGCGGUGUGGGAUGGGCCCGCGGCCUAUCAGCUUGUUGGUGGGGUUAAGGCCUACCAAGGCGACGACGGGUAGCCGGCCUGAGAGGGUGACCGGCCACACUGGGACUGAGAUACGGCCCAGACUCCUACGGGAGGCAGCAGUGGGGAAUAUUGCACAAUGGGCGCAAGCCUGAUGCAGCGACGCCGCGUGAGGGACGACGGCCUUCGGGUUGUAAACCUCUUUCAGCACAGACGAAGCGCAAGUGACGGUAUGUGCAGAAGAAGGACCGGCCAACUACGUGCCAGCAGCCGCGGUAAUACGUAGGGUCCGAGCGUUGUCCGGAAUUACUGGGCGUAAAGAGCUCGUAGGUGGUUUGUCGCGUUGUUCGUGAAAACUCACAGCUCAACUGUGGGCGUGCGGGCGAUACGGGCAGACUGGAGUACUGCAGGGGAGACUGGAAUUCCUGGUGUAGCGGUGGAAUGCGCAGAUAUCAGGAGGAACACCGGUGGCGAAGGCGGGUCUCUGGGCAGUAACUGACGCUGAGGAGCGAAAGCGUGGGGAGCGAACAGGAUUAGAUACCCUGGUAGUCCACGCCGUAAACGGUGGGUACUAGGUGUGGGUUUCCUUCCUUGGGAUCCGUGCCGUAGCUAACGCAUUAAGUACCCCGCCUGGGGAGUACGGCCGCAAGGCUAAAACUCAAAGAAAUUGACGGGGGCCCGCACAAGCGGCGGAGCAUGUGGAUUAAUUCGAUGCAACGCGAAGAACCUUACCUGGGUUUGACAUGCACAGGACGUGCCUAGAGAUAGGUAUUCCCUUGUGGCCUGUGUGCAGGUGGUGCAUGGCUGUCGUCAGCUCGUGUCGUGAGAUGUUGGGUUAAGUCCCGCAACGAGCGCAACCCCUAUCUUAUGUUGCCAGCGCGUUAUGGCGGGGACUCGUAAGAGACUGCCGGGGUCAACUCGGAGGAAGGUGGGGAUGACGUCAAGUCAUCAUGCCCCUUAUGUCCAGGGCUUCACACAUGCUACAAUGGCCGGUACAAAGGGCUGCGAUGCCGCGAGGUGGAGCGAAUCCUUUAAAGCCGGUCUCAGUUCGGAUCGGGGUCUGCAACUCGACCCCGUGAAGUCGGAGUCGCUAGUAAUCGCAGAUCAGCAACGCUGCGGUGAAUACGUUCCCGGGCCUUGUACACACCGCCCGUCACGUCAUGAAAGUCGGUAACACCCGAAGCCGG